GAACAGCAUACAAAUAUUCUCCUUAAUGACUUGACAUCUGAUUAAUGGAAUUUGUAUUUUGUAGAGAUUGCUGAUAGUUCCUCCAAAGCUAGCUUAUGGAAGUAAAGGGGUCCAGGAGAUUCCUCCAAAUGCCACAAUUGAGUUGGAUGUGGAGCUACUAGCAAUCAAACAAAGCCCAUUUGGAUCUGCUGUAAAGAUUGUUGAAGGAUGAUUAGAGUUAAUGUUCUCUCACUGCUUGUUUAUCCCAGUCACAGCCGCUUUUGACCUUUGUACAUAUUUAUUCAUUGAAGUGAUGAGAGUAAAAGCUCGAUUGCUC
Molecule: long non-coding RNA, 316 nt
Organism: Telopea speciosissima
Lineage: Eukaryota; Viridiplantae; Streptophyta; Magnoliopsida; Proteales; Proteaceae
Exons: 3
Source: RefSeq, a predicted model, not a curated record